CUGUGUUCCUCUUAGCCCUUCCCCAGCACCCCCAGACUGGCCAUCCCAUUGCUGUUAGACUAUAUUUUAUGGGAUGCAACAUAACCUGCUGCUGUUGGGUCUGGGGCAGUGGGGACAGGGUUUCCGGGGCUGCAGAGUGGCAGAACCAGGCAAGAGGCAAAUAGAGUCUGUUUUUUUUUUUUUUUAAUUUGUCCUUUCACAAUUUCACUCAUGUACACAAUGCAUACCCUCCUACAACCCACCCUCUCACAUCUCCCUACAACCUAUAAACCAUUCCUCUCCCCUACAAAUAUCUUUUCGCUGACUAGUGGGCUGAUGCCUACCCUGUCCCCAGCACUCCCUGCCCCCAGGGGACACAGCUGCCCACUAGGCAACAAGCCCAGAAGAAGAUAGUGCCAGCAUGCAAAUCUGGGGGUUUCUGAUCAGGCCCUGCCCCUGCUGCCCACGCAUCCAUCUGUCUUCCCCUCCCCACACCCACACAACUCCUCCAGAGCCCCUGGCAGAACCUCCUUAAGUAUAUGCUGCCUUGCUGUUCCUGAUGAGUCGACUCGUGUAUCUGAAUCUCCAGAUGGUGGUUUGCAUUCCCCCUGUCCUCCAACUGCAUGUAGCUUGACACACUCACUCAGAGCCACCAGAUGGGAGUGGGGGAGGCAAGAAGGACAAGUGAGGUGUGACGGGUAGAUGGGUGUAGUGGAGGCAAUUCAUCCAAAGGACUGAGCUACCAGGAUAGAGCAGGGUAUGUGUUAGACUCUACCAGGAGGGAAACAAGCUAAAGCUAAUAGAAAGAGUGGGGGCCAUGGUGUGCUGGGGAGAGGAGGGGAGAGGCGUUAUGUCCAUCAAACAAGAGUUUCCUCCUGAGGAAGGGAACCUGAAAACCAGGUCUCCCAGGCUGGGUCUAGAAUGUAGCAGAGCCAGAAAAAGAGGCAGAAAUCCUGAUUAGCAAGCUGUUAUCUGAUUUGACCACAGAUCUCCACACUGGAGUCCUACAUCUCAGCCUUAUUAACUUGUCUGGGACCUGGAUGGGCUCUAAGCUAAUCAAAGAUAGGUCAAAGAGGACUUCAGAUGGGCCCCAGCACUUGGGAGGCCAAAAAAGAGAGCUGCUUAGCCUGGGCUAUAUUGGGAGACCUUGUCUCAAAAAAAUCAAAACAAGAGGCUAGGGAGAUAGCUCCCUUGGUAAAGUGUUUGCCUUGCCUAGGGAUUGAGUUCAGACCCUAGAAGCUAUGUUUUUAAAAAGCCAGACUUGAUGGUGUAUGGGGACUCAGACAGGAGGAAUUCUUGGGGCCCUUCAGCUACCCAGCUAUAUUACAAUUCUCUGGGAGAAUAGAAGCAAUGGUUGGAUAUAUAUUAAAAAGAGACUUACUAGACUAAUGUAUAACAUGCAAUCUAGGUAGUUCAACAAUGGCUAUGUCACGCCAAAAAUGGUCAAGAAUCUGGUAGUUUGUCAUCCGAGGGUUGGUAGGCUGACAGCUACCAGUCUUCAGUCUGCAUUAGAAGUCUUAAAAAGCUUGUUCUGAUAUCAGUGAGUUCAGCAGUUGCAGCAACAGAACAGAUGAGUUUGCCAGCAAGAAUGAAGGCAGACAGGCAAAAAGCAAGCUUCCUUCUUUUAUCUCCCUUCUAAGUUUCCAUCCACAUUUAGUAUGAGUCUUACUUUUUUUUUGGGGGGGGGGGGUGUUGAGACAGGGUUUCUCUGUGUAGCCCUGGCUGUCCUGGAACUCACUCUGUAGACCAGGCUGGCCUCAAAUUCAGAAAUCCGCCUGCCUCCGCCUCCCAAGUGCUGGGAUUAAAGGUGUGUGCCACCCCUGCCUGGCCCAUUUUAAAUAAUAUAACCAAGAACUCCCUUAAAGAAGGAUGGUGGUACACACCUUUAAUCCCAUCACUUUGGAGGCAGAAGCUGAUAGAUCUCUGUGAGUUCAGGCCAGCCUCAGCUACACAGCAAGUUCCAGGCCAGGAAGAGCUACAUAGACUCUGUC
This 1970-nucleotide long non-coding RNA is filed under the name Mus musculus (house mouse). RNAcentral describes it as "long non-coding RNA chr16:16930543-16932513". Lineage: Eukaryota; Metazoa; Chordata; Mammalia; Rodentia; Muridae. The record is from RNAcentral.